Molecule: non-coding RNA, 21 nt
Filed under: Caenorhabditis elegans
Lineage: Eukaryota; Metazoa; Nematoda; Chromadorea; Rhabditida; Rhabditidae
Source: RNAcentral
UAAAUAUUGUUUCAUACGGUC